This 234-nucleotide ribosomal RNA is filed under the name Triticum aestivum (bread wheat). RNAcentral describes it as "partial small subunit ribosomal RNA". Lineage: Eukaryota; Viridiplantae; Streptophyta; Magnoliopsida; Poales; Poaceae. The record is from RNAcentral.
GUGGGUCGCCCUUCUUAUGCUGAGAGGGGUCGGUCGCGCCAUGACACCUUUUGUGGCUACUGCUCUCGGCCAGGUCACCCAGAGUCUGAUUGCCGUGAGAAGAAGCGAGACUAGAGGCGCUCCUCUUCUAGUGGGACUCCUGGCUCUUCCUCGACUCCGUCACUCACUGACCAGGACAUUGUGAGGCUCAAGCGUCUCUUGGCUUCCUCAGGCUCUUCGUGUUGGGGAACGUAG